Oncorhynchus masou masou (cherry salmon) is the source of this 345-nucleotide long non-coding RNA. RefSeq lists it as uncharacterized. NCBI's taxonomy places the organism in Eukaryota, Metazoa, Chordata, Actinopteri, Salmoniformes, Salmonidae. The record is from RefSeq and is a predicted model, not a curated record. The transcript has 2 exons.
UACGACGCCAACAGUGCCCUCUAUUCAAGGUAUGAUUACAUUGACAAGAUAGGAGGCACACAGAAAUACUGUUAUGUCACGAGGGCUCUCCUUGAUUCUUCAGGCGUAACAGAAGUCUAUCUCCCUCUUCUCUCCAAUGUCUCGAUCAAAACGACCUACAGCUGGUUUACUGCGCUCUCUCUGCGAGUUGGAAGCUACUACAAGGACCAUCGCAACUCUAACCGAGAGGGGUGCACAAGAGAGAAUUUGCUAUAAAAAAAAUGACAAGCGCAUAUACAUACUUGGAGUUUGGAGUAAAGGUUUGUGAUGACCUCCCUGUGUUUCAUAUUAAAGACACUUCACUAA